GUUGGAGUUGACUUCCGUGCAUCGUGCUUUUGCCAUAAAAACACGAUUGACAUGGGUUUCAUAUGCUCUGUUUGUUUAUCAAUAUUCUGCAAGCAUCACAAGAAAUGCUCAACUUGCGGAUCAAAUUUUGGGGAGGCAUGAAAGCAGGAUCCCUCAGCCUCGGAUCAGAGGAGGACUUCAUAUGGUAGUUGAAUAGAUAAUCCUAAAGCCUAUUUAACACCUCAGGCCAUUGCCACUACUGUGUUUCAAUAGAUUUCUUAUGAUAUGAACUUCCAGAUGGUUAUAUUAAAGACGAGUCACCAAACUGGACU
This 311-nucleotide unclassified non-coding RNA is filed under the name Hevea brasiliensis (rubber tree). Lineage: Eukaryota; Viridiplantae; Streptophyta; Magnoliopsida; Malpighiales; Euphorbiaceae. The record is from RNAcentral.